UGAUGUUUUCAACUUUCAGGCUUAUUCUAUGCAUCCCGAUAACUUAAUCUUAUAUGUGCAUAUACUGAAUUAUUGAAGUGUCCAAGAAAAUAGAACGACUGAAGGAGAAAAGAUGAAGAGCUUGUCCGAGUCUUUAGCACAAACAGAAUUUCUGAAGAUAUUUAGUGGUUGGUUUAUUGCAUUUGAAAGUUUUUCAGGUUAUUUCUUUGUUUACCCUUUGAAUCUCUAUGAUAUUACUGAAUAAUAAUUGUAGUCUCGUUCAUCUACUCAAAAUAGAUGCAAACUUGAAUACGUAAAAGUAUAUGCAAAAUCAGAAGAAAAGAGUUUAAUGAAAAAAAACUUUCAUGUAUCUAUUAAAUUAUCUACUCAAUCAUGAUUUCACUUUUCAGAUAACAAACUCUCUUGAAUCUAUUUUACCAAAAUCUAACACAAUACAAAAUCCAAACGGACCAAUUAAGCACCAAUUUCAUGUGCCUUUUGAAAUCAACGACCACCAGAGAGAACAGAUUCAGCAAUAGACACAGAAGUAUAUGGCACUGUCUUGUCCUCAACAAGUUCUUGGUGCCCAAAAGUUAAUCCAUAGGAAGAUAAACUAAGCAAUGACAAAGCUGGUAAAGGUAUAUCCCUCUCCAAAUACUGCACAACUUGUCUCAUACUUGGUCUAGCCAAAGGCUCUGAAUGUGAACACAUCAAGCCAAGUUUCAACACCAAUUCCACCUCUUCAGACAACAACUAUGUGAACAAAGUUGAAGUCAUUAUACACGACAAAGUCUUUUGACUUAUUGAUAAUUUUUGAAACAACAACCUUACUCAAUUAGGAUGGUGGAGAACAAACCUAUCAUAGAGAAAUUGAC
RNAcentral lists this long non-coding RNA (854 nucleotides) under Medicago truncatula (barrel medic). RNAcentral's name for it is "long non-coding RNA (MTRU_LNC005176)". The record is from RNAcentral. Lineage: Eukaryota; Viridiplantae; Streptophyta; Magnoliopsida; Fabales; Fabaceae.